Molecule: ribosomal RNA, 274 nt
Filed under: uncultured bacterium
Lineage: Bacteria
Description: partial 16S ribosomal RNA
Rfam family: Bacterial small subunit ribosomal RNA
Source: RNAcentral
AGACGGAGGGUGCUAGCGUUGUUCGGAAUCAUUGGGCGUAAAGGGCGUGUAGGCGGCUCGUUAAGUCAUGCGUGAAAGCCCUCGGCUUAACCGAGGAAGUGCGUAUGAUACUGGCGAGCUAGAGUUCGGAAGAGGGGGGUGGAAUUCCAGGUGUAGCGGUGAAAUGCGUAGAUAUCUGGAGGAACACCGGUGGCGAAGGCGACCCCCUGGUCCGACACUGACGCUGAGACGCGAAAGCGUGGGUAGCAAACAGGAUUAGAAACCCGGGUAGUCC